RNAcentral lists this unclassified non-coding RNA (180 nucleotides) under uncultured Ascomycota. RNAcentral describes it as "sequence contains ITS2". Lineage: Eukaryota; Fungi; Ascomycota. The record is from RNAcentral.
CACACCCCAAGCUCGGCUUGAUGUUGGACGCUGUCUGUGAAAGGACAGGUCUGGAACGCGUGGGCGCCGCCGCCGGACCACGAGCGUAGCAAGACGCAAGUCAAAUCGCUCUGUGGGCUUACUCGGUGGACGGCCGUCUAGAUGCUGGGGUAACGCCUGCGUCGAAAACACCUAACCAAA